RNA transcript from Drosophila ananassae, 934 nucleotides. RefSeq lists it as uncharacterized. NCBI's taxonomy places the organism in Eukaryota, Metazoa, Arthropoda, Insecta, Diptera, Drosophilidae. The record is from RefSeq and is a predicted model, not a curated record. The transcript is spliced from 3 exons.
GUGAAAUUGUUGUUGCUCUUGAUUGGAUAUCUGUGUUGGAUCAGGUGGCACUGCCACUCACCCAGCUUGACGUCGUGAGAUCACAAUUGAUCCUCCCCAAGAUCCCCGUACCAGCCGUCGGGGCCAAAGGCAAACAUCUUUUCUAACCGCCUAGAUUGACAAUCGAGAUUGAAACGCUCACACACACACACACACAGGCUCACAUACCAGAAGAUACUCAGAUACAAAUAGUGGCGUGGAACCGAAUGAGGAUGGAAACGAGGCGGCCGAGCGUGAAAAGAGGUAUGCAGUUUUCGGAUGAGUCAUUCAGGAGAAAAAGCUCGUGGGGCCCAGUGCUUUCGGGGAAAGCGAUCUCGAAGGGCGUUGUCUGCGCCUGCUGAUGUCAUUGGGAUUCGGAUGAUGGAGGCCCAUCCCAAAACGUAUCUGGCGCAUCUAUUACGAAUGAACAGUUACAUCCUCCGCACCAAGCCCAAAGACACGAAACCACCAACACAGCGCCACAUUCAACAGCUGUCUAAAAAACCGUUCAUGGUCAUUGUGCCAUAAAUGGCAAACGAAACGAAAUUGAAAUUAAGCAAAUGAGUGGGAAACCAGACGCUGUAGCAACAAAGGAGAAGAACUUAGAGGCAACAACAGCAACAAACGGCAACGGCAGCAGCAACUUCGGAAAACAAGUUGAUAAAAGUCGAGGCCCAAAAGACGAAUCCACUAGACGACAAACGAAGGCGGAUGCGCACCUAGAAGCCGCCAAAUGAGGAGCUCUAGCGGAUGCUGUGCCUCUUCAACUGGGCCAAAAUCAAAGCAACUUCAACGGCAUCGUUGAUCAACAGAACACUCGGGGAAAAAGCCAGAGAUAAGGAAAUCAACUUUAAUUUUACAUUAUUAAUUUUAAAAUCAUAAAAUCCUUUUAAUAAUAAAAUAUUGAUGACUAAAA